GGAAUCUUGGACUAAUGGGCGCAAGCCUGAUCCAGCCAUGCCGCGUGAGUGAUGAAGGCCUUAGGGUAGUAAAGCUCUUUCACCGGGGAUGAUAAUGACGGUACCCGGAAAAGAAACCCCGGCUAACUCCGUGCCAGCAGCCGCGGUAAUACGGAGGGGGCUAGCGUUGUUCGGAAUUACUGGGCGUAAAGCGCACGUAGGCGGAUUGGUAAGUUAGAGGUGAAAUCCCGGGGCUCAACCCCGGAACUGCCUUUAAUACUGCUAAGUCUUGAGUUCGAGAGAGGUGAGUGGAAUUCCGAGUGUAGAGGUGAAAUUCGUAGAUAUUCGGAGGAACACCAGUGGCGAAGGCGGCUCACUGGCUCGAUACUGACGCUGAGGUGCGAAAGCGU
Molecule: ribosomal RNA, 389 nt
Filed under: uncultured Thalassovita sp.
Lineage: Bacteria; Pseudomonadati; Pseudomonadota; Alphaproteobacteria; Rhodobacterales; Roseobacteraceae
Description: bacterial SSU rRNA
Rfam family: Bacterial small subunit ribosomal RNA
Source: RNAcentral